RNAcentral lists this ribosomal RNA (479 nucleotides) under uncultured bacterium. Its description in RNAcentral is "partial 16S ribosomal RNA". It matches the Rfam family "Bacterial small subunit ribosomal RNA", at positions 28 to 524 of the family's 1533-position model. The record is from RNAcentral.
GACGAACGCUGGCGGCGUGCUUAACACAUGCAAGUCGAACGGUAAGGCCCUUCGGGGUACACGAGUGGCGAACGGGUGAGUAACACGUGGGUGAUCUGCCCUGCACUUCGGGAUAAGCCUGGGAAACUGGGUCUAAUACCGGAUAGGACCACUGCCUGCAAGGGUGGUGGUGGAAAGCUUUUGCGGUGUGGGAUGGGCCCGCGGCCUAUCAGCUUGUUGGUGGGGUGAUGGCCUACCAAGGCGACGACGGGUAGCCGGCCUGAGAGGGUGACCGGUCACACGGGGACUGGGAUCCGGCCCAGACUCCUACGGGAGGCAGCAGUGGGGAAUAUUGCACAAUGGGUGCAAGCCUGAUGCAGCGACGCCGCGUGAGGGAUGACGGCCUUCGGGUUGUAAACCUCUUUCAGCUAUGACGAAGCGCAAGUGACGGUAGUAGCAGAAGAAGGACCGGCCAACUACGUGCCAGCCGCCGCGGUUAA